AUUGAACGCUAGCGGGAUGCUUUACACAUGCAAGUCGAACGAGUGGCGGACGGGUGAGUAAUAUAUCGGACCGUGCCCUGUAGCGGGGGAUAACUACUCGAAACAGUCGCUAAUACCGCAUACUCUUGGAUCGGCCCAUAUCGGAUUAGCUAGUUGGUGGGGUAAAGGCUCACCAAGGCCACGAUCCGUAGCUGGUUUGAGAGGACGACCAGCCACACUGGGACUGAGACACGGCCCAGAAGCCUAAGGGAGGCAGCAGUGGGGAAUAUUGGGCAAUGGGGGAAACCCUGAUCCAGCCAUGCCGCGUGUAUGAGAAGGCCUUCGGGUUGUAAAGUACUUUUGGCAGAGAAGCGGUAUCUGCAGAAUAAGCACCGGCUAACUACGUGCCAGCAGCCGCGGUAAUUC
RNAcentral lists this ribosomal RNA (405 nucleotides) under uncultured bacterium. RNAcentral's name for it is "partial 16S ribosomal RNA". It matches the Rfam family "Bacterial small subunit ribosomal RNA", at positions 30 to 526 of the family's 1533-position model. The record is from RNAcentral.